AUUGAAACACUGGUUCCUGUACAAUCACUGAAGUUAAGCAAUGUCAAGCCUGGUCAGUAGAUAGAUGAGUGACCACUUGGGAAUACCAUGUGCUGUAAG
Molecule: non-coding RNA, 99 nt
Organism: Acanthosepion pharaonis
Lineage: Eukaryota; Metazoa; Mollusca; Cephalopoda; Sepiida; Sepiidae
Source: the annotation of a GenBank genome assembly